GAUUUGCAGCAGAAACACCCUGCUAAAGAACAAGUAUCUUGGUUCCCAGCAAAGAGGACAAAGGAAAACAGCAAGUUAUAGGGAGUUGAAUGCUGGAUUGUGUACAAUAUGGUGAUUCAAGUCUAUUCCUUACUCAGUGCUCAUCAUGGGUCAAGAGAAGAUUGUGGUGAAAAUGGGAGAGCAGAGGGAUGGACUUCAGGACCCUCCUGACGGCGUUCCAGGGGAUGACUUCACUCCCAGCGGAGAGACUGCAGGCCAGGUCUCAAGGCUCGCUCAGCUAGAAUUGUGAAUUGCUGAACUGGACAGCCCUGGGCUAUGAAUACCCAUGAUUCUUAUUUGGAUUGCUUAAAGGUUUUAUCAUAAGACAGUCAGUUGAAAUAAGGGUGAAAAAGGCCUAAUUCAGAAGACCCCCACAGCUAGAAGGAUCCUUCUUCAGCUGUUGUAAAAUCUCCAUAUUAGGUUUUGACAACGCUGACAAUAUAGUUUGAAGAAUGUU
Long non-coding RNA from Panthera uncia (snow leopard), 496 nucleotides. RefSeq lists it as uncharacterized. The record is from RefSeq and is a predicted model, not a curated record. The transcript is spliced from 4 exons. NCBI's taxonomy places the organism in Eukaryota, Metazoa, Chordata, Mammalia, Carnivora, Felidae.